AGAAGAACAGUGUUCUUUGCUUUGCAAAAUCCAGUGAUGCAAUAGUUUUCCCUGCAAAAAUUAGACUGUUUUUGCUUAAAAUUGUUGAAAAAACAAUGGCAUUUUUAUAUUUUGUUCAUUUAAAAGUUUUCCAAAAUGUUGCAUUUUCUUAUUGCGCCUACAGGCUUUCCUGCUUGCAGACCUCUGUCUCAGAUUUUGGAUACUUGUUGACCCAGAAACCUUCCUGGAAGGAAUCUUCACAGCUCUCCAUGGAUCCAUAAAAUAUGAAGAUGACAUCAUCUUACUAAAGCUCAUGUUUAUUUGAUGGUCUUUCAUGAUCCGAAGUCCUUUAUUUCCUUCAUUAAGCAGAAGAAAAUGCAAAGUGAAACAAGAACCAGGGGGAGAAAUGGGCAUUAUUUAGACUUAAAUCCUUACAAGAGGAUCCCACAUGGACUGGCCAGAAUUCCACCAGGCGCCGUGUUCAUCCCUGCACUUGAAGUACAGACCACAAGAAAAGAAGUCACUUUCUUGGAACAAAAACUGUUUCAAAAAAAGCAAGCAGUUCAGCCUUAUAGAUACAAAAAGGAAAGUGAUGGCAUUACAGGCAUACCAGAGUUGUUCUGCAGCACUUAAAAUGCCACUCAUCAGUCUUAAUUUUCAUUAAUAAACUAAAGCAAAUUUUAUAUGGUGUGUUUUAUUUUUGUUGAUGUGGUAAUAG
RNAcentral lists this long non-coding RNA (697 nucleotides) under Ficedula albicollis (Collared flycatcher). RNAcentral's name for it is "lncRNA (ENSFALG00000028523.1)". Lineage: Eukaryota; Metazoa; Chordata; Aves; Passeriformes; Muscicapidae. The record is from RNAcentral.